CGGAGGGUGCAAGCGUUAUCCGGAUUCACUGGGUUUAAAGGGUGCGUAGGCGGACAGGUAAGUCAGUGGUGAAAUCUCCGAGCUUAACUCGGAAACUGCCGUUGAUACUAUCUGUCUUGAAUAUCAUGGAGGUAAGCAGAAUAUGUCAUGUAGCGGUGAAAUGCUUAGAUAUGACAUAGAAUACCGAUAGCGAAGGCAGCUUACUACAUGUUAAUUGACGCUGAGGCACGAAAGCGUGGGGAGCAAACAGGAUUAGAUACCCUGGUAGUCCACGCCCUAAACGAUGGAUACUCGACAUCAGCGAUACACUGUUGGUGUCUGAGCGAAAGCAUUAAGUAUCCCACCUGGGAAGUACGACCGCAAGGUUG
This 368-nucleotide ribosomal RNA is filed under the name uncultured organism. RNAcentral's name for it is "bacterial SSU rRNA". It matches the Rfam family "Bacterial small subunit ribosomal RNA", at positions 526 to 896 of the family's 1533-position model. The record is from RNAcentral.